CAUAGAGAAGAGGCUGGCGUUUGGGAUAGGCAGGGUAUUUGAUGAUGAACAGUGAUGUUGUGUUCUUCUCCCAGGUGGCAGGGUAUUUGUGUUGUGUUCUUCUCCCAGGUGGCAGGGUAUUUGAUGAUGAACAGUGAUGUUCUUCUCCCAGGUGGCAGGGUAUUUGAUGAUGAACAGUGAUGUUCUUCUCCCAGGUGACAGGGUAUUUGAUGAUGAACAGUGAUGUUCUUCUCCCAGGUGGCAGGGUAUUUGAUGAUGAACAGUGAUGUUCUUCUCCCAGGUGGCAGGGUAUUUGAUGAUGAACAGUGUUGUUCUUCUCCCAGGUGACAGGGUAUUUGAUGAUGAACAGUGUUGUUGUGUUCUUCUCCCAGGUGACAGGGUAUUUGUGUUGUGUUCUUCUCCCAGGUGGCAGGGUAUUUGAUGAUGAACAGUGAUGUUCUUCUCCCAGGUGACAGGGUAUUUGAUGAUGAACAGUGAUGUUCUUCUCCCAGGUGGCAGGGUAUUUGAUGAUGAACAGUGAUGUUCUUCUCCCAGGUGGCAGGGUAUUUGAUGAUGAACAGUGUUGUUCUUCUCCCAGGUGGCAGGGUAUUUGAUGAUGAACAGUGUUGUUCUUC
Long non-coding RNA from Oncorhynchus keta (chum salmon), 614 nucleotides. RefSeq lists it as uncharacterized. Lineage: Eukaryota; Metazoa; Chordata; Actinopteri; Salmoniformes; Salmonidae. The transcript has 3 exons. The record is from RefSeq and is a predicted model, not a curated record.